This 325-nucleotide long non-coding RNA is filed under the name Trifolium pratense (red clover). Its description in RNAcentral is "long non-coding RNA (TPRA_LNC010561)". Lineage: Eukaryota; Viridiplantae; Streptophyta; Magnoliopsida; Fabales; Fabaceae. The record is from RNAcentral.
UUUUGCUUAUAAUAGUGACCAAAAUUUGAAUUGUUUUUUUACUUAUAAAUGUGACCGGAGGGAGUACAAAUUUACACAUGAUGGUAAAACUCUUAUCUUAAUUGUAAUCCAUCCUUAAUAUUAGUUGAAGUGAUUAUGAGAGCAUGCCAUACAAUGGAGGCUAGAUGAAAGAAAAUAUGUCAAUUCAAACCAAUUUUUUAUGUAUGUCCUUGGUAUAGGUAGGAGUAAUAGUAAUACCUUCAACUGAGUCAUUCAUGUGAUUUUUUGUUAAACUUAAAAGUUUGAAGUUUCUCAAAUUCUGAACAUCUGUAGCAUACAAGAAAAA